AAGAGGUUCGGUUGGGGCUGCUAACCACGACGUGGGAUUUUUCCGCCUCUUU
RNAcentral lists this transfer RNA (52 nucleotides) under Karaftohelix adamsi. RNAcentral's name for it is "tRNA-Ser". The record is from RNAcentral. Lineage: Eukaryota; Metazoa; Mollusca; Gastropoda; Stylommatophora; Camaenidae.